GACGAACCGUGCGAACGUUGUUCGGAAUCACUGGGCUUAAAGGGCGCGUAGGCGGGCUGUCAAGUCUGGGGUGAAAUGCUGCGGCUCAACCGUAGAACUGCCUUAGAUACUGACGGCCUCGAGGAAGGUAGGGGCAUGCGGAACUGUAGGUGGAGCGGUGAAAUGCGUUGAUAUCUACAGGAACUCCGGUGGCGAAAGCGGCGUGCUGGACCUUUUCUGACGCUGAGGCGCGAAAGCUAGGGGAGCAAACGGG
This 253-nucleotide ribosomal RNA is filed under the name uncultured bacterium. Its description in RNAcentral is "partial 16S ribosomal RNA". It matches the Rfam family "Bacterial small subunit ribosomal RNA", at positions 524 to 776 of the family's 1533-position model. The record is from RNAcentral.